This 490-nucleotide ribosomal RNA is filed under the name uncultured bacterium. RNAcentral's name for it is "bacterial SSU rRNA". It matches the Rfam family "Bacterial small subunit ribosomal RNA", at positions 28 to 507 of the family's 1533-position model. The record is from RNAcentral.
GAUGAACGCUAGCUACAGGCCUAACACAUGCAAGUCGAGGGGAAACGGCAGCUUAGCUUGCUAAGUUGGACGUCGACCGGCGCACGGGUGAGUAACGCGUAUCCAACCUGCCCCACGGUGAGGGAUAACCCGCGGAAACGCGGCCUAAUACCUCAUGGCCUCCGAGCUUGACAUCAACCUUGGAGUAAAGAUUCAUUGCCGUGGGAUGGGGAUGCGUCUGAUUAGCUUGUUGGCGGGGCAACGGCCCACCAAGGCUACGAUCAGUAGGGGUUCUGAGAGGAAAGCCCCCCACAUUGGAACUGAGACACGGUCCAAACUCCUACGGGAGGCAGCAGUGAGGAAUAUUGGUCAAUGGGCGCAAGCCUGAACCAGCCAAGUAGCGUGAGGGAAGACUGCCCUACGGGUUGUAAACCUCUUUUGUUUGGGAAUAAAGUGAGAGUCGUGACUCUUUUUGCAUGUACCUUAUGAAUAAGGACCGGCUAAUUCCGUG